GAUGAACGCUGGCGGCGUGCCUAAUACAUGCAAGUCGAGCGAACGGACGAGAAGCUUGCUUCUCUGAUGUUAGCGGCGGACGGGUGAGUAACACGUGGAUAACCUACCUAUAAGACUGGGAUAACUUCGGGAAACCGGAGCUAAUACCGGAUGAUAUUUUGAACCGCAUGGUUCAACAGUGAAAGACGGUCUUGCUGUCACUUAUAGAUGGAUCCGCGCUGCAUUAGCUAGUUGGUAAGGUAACGGCUUACCAAGGCAACGAUGCAUAGCCGACCUGAGAGGGUGAUCGGCCACACUGGAACUGAGACACGGUCCAGACUCCUACGGGAGGCAGCAGUAGGGAAUCUUCCGCAAUGGGCGAAAGCCUGACGGAGCAGCGCCGCGUGAGUGAUGAAGGUCUUCGGAUCGUAAAACUCUGUUAUUAGGGAAGAACAUAUGUGUAAGUAACUGUGCACAUCUUGACGGUACCUAAUCAGAAAGCCACGGCUAACUACGUG
This 497-nucleotide ribosomal RNA is filed under the name uncultured bacterium. RNAcentral's name for it is "partial 16S ribosomal RNA". It matches the Rfam family "Bacterial small subunit ribosomal RNA", at positions 28 to 507 of the family's 1533-position model. The record is from RNAcentral.